AUACGGAGGAUCCGAGCGUUAUCCGGAUUUAUUGGGUUUAAAGGGAGCGUAGGUGGAUUGUUAAGUCAGUUGUGAAAGUUUGCGGCUCAACCGUAAAAUUGCAGUUGAAACUGGCAGUCUUGAGUACAGUAGAGGUGGGCGGAAUUCGUGGUGUAGCGGUGAAAUGCUUAGAUAUCACGAAGAACUCCGAUUGCGAAGGCAGCUCACUAGACUGUUACUGACACUGAUGCUCGAAAGGGUGGGUAUCAAACAGGAUUAGAUACCCUGGUAGUCCACACAGUAAACGAUGAAUACUCGCUGUUUGCGAUAUACAGUAAGCGGCCAAGCGAAAGCAUUAAGUAUUCCACCUGGGGAGUACGCCGGCAACGGUGAAACUCAAAUGAAUUGGCGGGG
Molecule: ribosomal RNA, 393 nt
Filed under: uncultured bacterium
Lineage: Bacteria
Description: partial 16S ribosomal RNA
Rfam family: Bacterial small subunit ribosomal RNA
Source: RNAcentral